This 3446-nucleotide long non-coding RNA is filed under the name Populus tremula. RNAcentral describes it as "long non-coding RNA (PTRE_LNC002889)". The record is from RNAcentral. Lineage: Eukaryota; Viridiplantae; Streptophyta; Magnoliopsida; Malpighiales; Salicaceae.
CAGGGCACAUUCUUCUUCCAGACCCGAAUGGUGUGAACUCGAAGUCCUGCCCCCUUACAUCCAAAUUGGCUUUCUCUUUCAGGAACCUCUCAGGCUGAAAUUCCAAUGGGUUAGCCCAAAUGUUAGGGUCACGAUGCAACUUCCAGAGGUUAACCACAAGGCGCGUGCCUGCUGGGAUGUGGAAGUCAGCUACAGUGCAAUCCUCCAUGGCUUCCCUUGGUCCUGAGAGUGGUGCUGGCGGGUGUAGUCUGAAUGUUUCCUUGACAAUGGCUUGCAAAUAUACAAGGUUCUUUAUGUCUGUCUCCGCCACUUGGCGGUGCUUUCCGACGUGGGUGUCAAGCUCAUCUUGAGCUUUUUUAAGCAUAUUUCUAUUGUUUAGUAGCAAAGCUAGUGGCCAUAUCAGAGCUAUCGUUAUUGUGUCACUGCCUCCCAAUAGAAGGCUCUGCCAUAGAGAUUACUUGAUACUGUGAGAUGAUGGAGUAAAAAAGUGAUUUAUAUACACAUAUACGAAAUUUAUUCCUUUAAUUUAUUAGGAUUUAUAUGACCCUUAGAGAUUACUAUGUCUGCUAUAUAGUACACUUUCUUUUUUUGACAAAUACUAUAAUGCAAAAUGCAAAAAUCGAACAUAAGCACUGGAUGUUUUGCCUAGCUGUAUGCAGUAUUGCAGAAAAUGAAAGACAGAGCAAGGGCCUCGAGUUAGAGACUUUCCUGAAAACUUAAAUCAAAUACAGAUCAUCAUUUACCCAAACUUGUGACAACAUGUGAAAAAAGCAAGUUUUGCCCCAGUUGCUUGAGUAGUAGGUUUCAGCUGCAACAGAAAAGUAUGAAACUUUUAAUUGCAGAAAUUUGCUAGAUACUUACCAAGCAACUAGCCUUAACGGUUGUGUCAGCUUCAUCAACAGAAACGUUACUAUCAUUCAUGAUAGAAAGCAUGACAUCGAUGAAAUCUUUCUCCUCCUCGCUGAUGCUUCUGUUGAGCCUGAUUCUUCGAUGCUCGUCCACCCAGCUCCCAAGCACGCAAUCUAACUCCCUUGCCGUUCUUUUCAUUUUUCCUAUAUAUCCCUUCACCAAAUCCAGCCAACUAAACAAUGGAACAGCAUCUGAAGCAAAAUUUAACCCCACUAGAUACAAGAAAUGUCGUAAAGCCUCUUGACACCUCUUUGCCUCUUGAUUGCCUUUUGCAUCGGCACUAAAAUAUCGCUUCCCAGAAAUCAUUCUAACUAUUAUGUUCAUUGCCAUGUCCGCUAAUCUUUGCUUCAUUUCCACGACAACUUGCCCUCCAUUCCUUGACGAUUUCUCAUAAAACUCUUUCAUGAGCAAACUGGUUUCUGUGUACCUGACAUGCUUGAGCAACUCUAGCCUAUGAUUGGAGAGGAGUUCAACCAUGACCAACUUCCUGAUAUCACGCCAAUAUCGCCCAUACGGUGCAAAGCCGAACGUGGUUUGGUUAUAGCCCAUGAUCUUUAAUGCUAAGGAUUUUGGACGUGUGGAAAAGACCCUAUCAUUUGCAGUGAAACAUUCUUUCACAACUUCCCAAUCGCUCACCACAAUUGUUGGAUGAAUUCCAAGGCGGAUAGAGAAGAUUGACCCGUACUCAUCUGCCAUGCCCCCUAGUGUUUUAUGCAGCAGCUGGUUUCUUCCUCCAAGAAGAUGUAGGUGGCCAAUUACAGGCCAUGACCCUGCUACCUCUGGAGGCAUCUUGCCAUUUUUCUUGUUUCCCUUGGCAAAUAUUGUGGCCAAGACAACAGAAGUUAUUGCAAGAAGAAGGGCAAACAAGGAGAUUCCUCGUAGCUCAGUCAAGGUUUUCAUGGUUUAGUUCGUAAUGAAGAUUGGUGAUUUGUCAACAUUUUUUCCAGAUGAUACUGAAAGAAACUUCUGAAUUUAGACAAAUGAAAUAUUUUUUAUGGCUCACAUCUUAUUUUUGUUCACAUAUUGACAGCUCAUUUAUGCGAAGUGAAUCAGUCUAGCUGAUGGUUACUGAUGGGGGGAUUUUCCAGUCUGGUUUGGCACGUCUAUCUUAUUCAACUAGUCUUCUCUAUAAACAAAAGAAAAGAAGAGAAAAUUACCAUCACCAAGUUUGGCAAAAAACGACAAUAUAUACAGUAAAUGAUCUCUCCAUGCAAAUGAUUUUCUUGAUCAUUAUACUAAUUAUUCACGAAAAAACGACAGGAUACCAAACAAUCAGACUUUUUUCAGCACAAGCUCCGUUUUUUCCAGAAUAAGACAGGCAUGAUCCACCUGUGAGACUUUUGUGUUAAAUUGUGGCCCCUGACAGCACAGUGUUUUUAAAAUAUAUGUAACUUGACUAUAGUAAAUUAAAAACCACGAAAUAAAAACUUGACUAUAAGAUCAGUUCAACAGUUAUUGCAAUACAUUGGCAAUAAAAAACACUUCCUGCCUUUAUUCUACCUUUGUUUUACAUAUUUUUAUAAAGGAUUGCACAAUGAUCUCCUUGUGCUUGCUGCUUAGAAUUCGUAAGCGAUGGAAGGUAACCUUGGCCUGAGGACAACCUCCAAUGGUGUUGCUUUGGGGACUGUCAAUCCAGGGCUUUCAGUCAUAUCGACUGGAGUAUCCGAGACUGUCCUCAAUUCAAACCCGUGAAGAAGCCGAGCAAGUGUCAGGUGCACAACCUGGACAACGAAUGACACCGCAGGGCACAUUCUUCUUCCAGACCCGAAUGGUGUGAACUCGAAGUCCUGCCCCCUUACAUCCAAAUUGGCUUUCUCUUUCAGGAACCUCUCAGGCUGAAAUUCCAAUGGGUUAGCCCAAAUGUUACGGGUCCCGAUGCAACUUCCAGAGGUUAACCACAAGGCGCGUGCCUGCUGGGAUGUGGAAGCCAGCUACAGUGCAAUCCUCCAUGGCUUCCCUUGGUCCUGAGAGUGGUCCUGGCGGGUGUAGCCUGAAUGUUUCCUUGACAAUGGCUUGCAAAUAUACAAGGUUCUUUAUGUCUGUCUCGGCCACUUGGCGGUGCUUUCCGACGUGGGUGUCAAGCUCAUCUUGAGCUUUUUGAAGCAUAUUUCUGUUGUUUAGUAGCAAAGCUAGUGCCCAUAUCAGAGCUAUCGGUGUUGUGUCACUGCCUCCCGCUAGAAGGCUCUGCCAUAGAGAUUACUUGAUACUGUGAGAUGAUGGAGUAAAAAAGUGAUUUAUAUAAACAUAUACGAAAUUUAUUCCUUUAAUUUAUUAGGAUUUAUAUAACCCUUAGAGAUUACUAUGUCUGCUAUAGUACACUUUCUUUUUUUGACAAAUACUAAAUGCAAAAUGCAAAAAUCGAACAUAAACUCUGGAUGUUUUGCCUAGCUGUAUGCCGUAUUGCAGAAAAUGAAAGACAGAGCAAGGGCCUCGAGUUAGAGACUUUCCGGAAAACUUAAAUCAAAUACAGAUCAUCAUUUACCCAAACUCCUUUCAGACAUGUGAAAAAAGCAAGUUUUGCCCAGUUGCUUGAGUAG